AAUCAAGCGCGAGAAGGGCGUUUGGUGGAUGCCUUGGCAGUAAGAGGCGAUGAAAGACGUGAUACUCUGCGAUAAGUCAUGGGGAGCUGAGAAUAAGCUUUGAUCCAUGAAUUUCUGAAUGGGGGAACCCACCUGACAGUUUGUUAUAAAAUGCUCUGCAUUUUAUAACUUGCUGAACCAGGUACUUAAGACCUGAAUACAUAGGGUUUUAAGAGCAAACCCGGGGAACUGAAACAUCUAAGUACCCGGAGGAAAGGAAAUCAAUUGAUACUCCCCUAGUAGCGGCGAGCGAACGGGGACCAGCCAAGCCUGAUAAGUGACUAGAACGUGUUGGGAAGCACGGCCAUAGCGGGUGAUAGCCCCGUAUAGGAAGCUUUGAAGGAUGUAUUAAGUAGGGCGGGACACGUGAAAUCCUGUCUGAAGAUCGGAGGACCACCUUCGAAGGCUAAGUACUCCUUACUGACCGAUAGCGAACCAGUACCGUGAGGGAAAGGUGAAAAGCACCCCGACAAGGGGAGUGAAACAGUACCUGAAACCGAACGCCUACAAUCAGUUGGAGGCCCCUUGAGGGCUGACAGCGUACCUUUUGUAUAAUGGGUCAUCGACUUAGUGUAUCUAGCAAGCUUAAGCCGUUAGGUGUAGGCGCAGCGAAAGCGAGUCUUAAUAGGGCGCUUGAGUUAGAUGCAUUAGACCCGAAACCGAGUGAUCUAGGCAUGACCAGGAUGAAGGUAAGGUAACACUUACUGGAGGUCCGAACCCACACCUGUUGAAAAAGGUCGGGAUGAGUUGUGCCUAGGGGUGAAAGGCCAAUCAAACUCGGAGAUAGCUGGUUCUCUGCGAAAUCUAUUUAGGUAGAGCGUCAUCCGAAUACCCCGGGGGGUAGAGCACUGAAUGGGUAAUGGGGGCCCACAGCCUUACUGAUCCUAAUCAAACUCCGAAUACCCGGGAGUACUAGAUGGCAGACACACUGCGGAUGCUAACGUCCGUAGUGGAGAGGGAAACAACCCUGACCUACGACUAAGGCCCCUAAUUCAUGGCUAAGUGGGAAAGCAGGUGGGACGACCAAAACAACCAGGAGGUUGGCUUAGAAGCAGCCAUCCUUUAAAGAUAGCGUAACAGCUCACUGGUCUAAAUAAGUUGUCCUGCGGCGAAGAUGUAACGGGGCUCAAGCCAUGAGCCGAAGUCUAGGAUAGUGACAUUCCUUCGGGAAUGCACUGUGGUAGCAGAGCGUAGUGUGACAUAGGAUUUAGUCCUCAAGUAGCGAAGCGGUAGGACAUCAUAUAAUGAGUGUCGGAGACACGAAGCUUUCGAUGAAGCUGGGGCGUGAGCCAUCCGGUGGAGAGAUCACUAGUGAGAAUGAUGACAUGAGUAGCGACAAAGAGUGUGAGAGACACUCUCGCCGAAAGUCCAAGGGUUCCUGCUUAAAGCUAAUCUGAGCAGGGUAAGCCGACCCCUAAGGCGAGGCCGAAAGGCGUAGUCGAUGGGAACCAGGUUAAUAUUCCUGGGCCAGAUGGAAGUGACGGAUUGCGACGGUUGUUCCUCCUUAUUGGAUUGGAGGGGCCGCUUAGCAGUUCCUGGAAAUAGCUCCAUCGCUAGAUCGUACCCUAAACCGACACAGGUGGACUGGUAGAGAAUACCAAGGCGCUUGAGAGAACGAUGUUGAAGGAACUCGGCAAAAUACCUCCGUAAGUUCGCGAGAAGGAGGCCCAGUUUCUACGCAAGUAUUGGCUGGGGGCACAAACCAGGGGGUGGCGACUGUUUACUAAAAACACAGGGCUCUGCGAAGUCGCAAGACGACGUAUAGGGUCUGACGCCUGCCCGGUGCCUGAAGGUUAAAAGGAGGGGUGAGAGCUCCGAAUUGAAGCCCAGGUAAACGGCGGCCGUAACUAUAACGGUCCUAAGGUAGCGAAAUUCCUUGUCGGGUAAGUUCCGACCUGCACGAAUGGCGUAACGACUUCCCCACUGUCUCCAACAUCGACUCAGCGAAAUUGAAUUGCCUGUCAAGAUGCAGGCUUCCCGCGGUUAGACGGAAAGACCCCGUGCACCUUUACUACAGCUUCACACUGGCAUCAGGCCAUGCAUGUGCAGGAUAGGUGGUGGGCAUUGAAACCGUGACGCCAGUCGCGGUGGAGCCUCCCUUGAGAUACCACCCUUGCAUUGCUUGAUGUCUAACCGCGGUCCGUUAUCCGGAUCCGGGACCCUGUGUGGCGGGUAGUUUGACUGGGGCGGUCGCCUCCUAAAGCGUAACGGAGGCGCGCGAAGGUUGGCUCAGAGCGGUCGGAAAUCGCUCGUUGAGUGCAAUGGCAGAAGCCAGCCUGACUGCAAGACUGACAAGUCGAGCAGAGUCGAAAGACGGCCAUAGUGAUCCGGUGGUCCCGAGUGGAAGGGCCAUCGCUCAACGGAUAAAAGGUACGCCGGGGAUAACAGGCUGAUACUGCCCAAGAGUCCAUAUCGACGGCAGUGUUUGGCACCUCGAUGUCGGCUCAUCUCAUCCUGGGGCUGGAGCAGGUCCCAAGGGUACGGCUGUUCGCCGUUUAAAGAGGUACGUGAGCUGGGUUUAGAACGUCGUGAGACAGUUCGGUCCCUAUCUGCCGUGGGUGUAGGAUACUUGAGAGGAGUUGCCCCUAGUACGAGAGGACCGGGGUGAACGAUCCACUGGUGGACCUGUUGUUGCGCCAGCAGCAGUGCAGGGUAGCUAUGAUCGGACAGGAUAACCGCUGAAGGCAUCUAAGCGGGAAGCCCCCCUCAAAACAAGGUAUCCCUGAGGACCGUGGUAGACCACCACGUCGAUAGGCCGGAGAUGUAAGUGCAGCAAUGCAUUCAGUUGACCGGUACUAAUGGUCCGAUAGGCUUGAUUUGA
RNAcentral lists this ribosomal RNA (2860 nucleotides) under Cognatishimia maritima. RNAcentral's name for it is "bacterial LSU rRNA". It matches the Rfam family "Bacterial large subunit ribosomal RNA". The record is from RNAcentral. Lineage: Bacteria; Pseudomonadati; Pseudomonadota; Alphaproteobacteria; Rhodobacterales; Paracoccaceae.